CACUGUCUGCAAAUGAGUGGAUACCGUUUUGCAACUAAUUUAUUUGCAAUGUUUGCUAAAGGGAAGUGGCUGGGGAAGUAGUCAGGGAAGUGGUCCAGGUCAGGGAAGUGGCUGGGGAAGUAGUCAGGGAAGUGGUCAGGGAAGUGGCUGGGGAAGUAGUCAGGGAAGUGGUCCAGGUCAGGGAAGUGGCUGGGGAAGUAGUCAGGGAAGUGGUCCAGGUCAGGGAAGUGGCUGGGGAAGUAGUCAGGGAAGUGGUCCAGGUCAGGGAAGUGGCUGGGGAAGUAGUCAGGGAAGUGGUCCAGGUCAGGGAAGUGGCUGGGGAAGUAGUCAGGGAAGUGGUCCAGGUCAGGGAAGUGGCUGGGGAAGUAGUCAGGGAAGUGGUCCAGGUCAGGGAAGUGGCUGGGGAAGUAGUCAGGGAAGUGGUCCAGGUCAGGGAAGUGGCUGGGGAAGUAGUCAGGGAAGUGGUCCAGGUCAGGGAAGUGGCUGGGGAAGUAGUCAGGGAAGUGGUCCAGGUCAGGGAAGUGGCUGGGGAAGUAGUCAGGGAAGUGGUCCAGGUCAGGGAAGUGGCUGGGGAAGUAGUCAGGGAAGUGGUCCAGGUCAGGGAAGUGGCUGGGGAAGUAGUCAGGGAAGUGGUCCAGGUCAGGGAAGUGGCUGGGGAAGUAGUCAGGGAAGUGGUCCAGGUCAGGGAAGUGGCUGGGGAAGUAGUCAGGGAAGUGGUCCAGGUCAGGGAAGUGGCUGGGGAAGUAGUCAGGGAAGUGGUCCAGGUCAGGGAAGUGGCUGGGGAAGUAGUCAGGGAAGUGGUCCAGGUCAGGGAAGUGGCUGGGGAAGUAGUCAGGGAAGUGGUCCAGGUCAGGGAAGUGGCUGGGGAAGUAGUCAGGGAAGUGGUCCAGGUCAGGGAAGUGGCUGGGGAAGUAGUCAGGGAAGUGGUCCAGGUCAGGGAAGUGGCUGGGGAAGUAGUCAGGGAAGUGGUCCAGGUCAGGGAAGUGGCUGGGGAAGUAGUCAGGGAAGUGGUCCAGGUCAGGGAAGUGGCUGGGGAAGUAGUCAGGGAAGUGGUCCAGGUCAGGGAAGUGGCUGGGGAAGUAGUCAGGGAAGUGGUCCAGGUCAGGGAAGUGGCUGGGGAAGUAGUCAGGGAAGUGGUCCAGGUCAGGGAAGUGGCUGGGGAAGUAGUCAGGGAAGUGGUCCAGGUCAGGGAAGUGGCUGGGGAAGUAGUCAGGGAAGUGGUCCAGGUCAGGGAAGUGGCUGGGGAAGUAGUCAGGGAAGUGGUCCAGGUCAGGGAAGUGGCUGGGGAAGUAGUCAGGGAAGUGGUCCAGGUCAGGGAAGUGGCUGGGGAAGUAGUCAGGGAAGUGGUCCAGGUCAGGGAAGUGGCUGGGGAAGUAGUCAGGGAAGUGGUCCAGGUCAGGGAAGUGGCUGGGGAAGUAGUCAGGGAAGUGGUCCAGGUCAGGGAAGUGGCUGGGGAAGUAGUCAGGGAAGUGGUCCAGGUCAGGGAAGUGGCUGGGGAAGUAGUCAGGGAAGUGGUCCAGGUCAGGGAAGUGGCUGGGGAAGUAGUCAGGGAAGUGGUCCAGGUCAGGGAAGUGGCUGGGGAAGUAGUCAGGGAAGUGGUCCAGGUCAGGGAAGUGGCUGGGGAAGUAGUCAGGGAAGUGGUCCAGGUCAGGGAAGUGGCUGGGGAAGUAGUCAGGGAAGUGGUCCAGGUCAGGGAAGUGGCUGGGGAAGUAGUCAGGGAAGUGGUCCAGGUCAGGGAAGUGGCUGGGGAAGUAGUCAGGGAAGUGGUCCAGGUCAGGGAAGUGGCUGGGGAAGUAGUCAGGGAAGUGGUCCAGGUCAGGGAAGUGGCUGGGGAAGUAGUCAGGGAAGUGGUCCAGGUCAGGGAAGUGGCUGGGGAAGUAGUCAGGGAAGUGGUCCAGGUCAGGGAAGUGGCUGGGGAAGUAGUCAGGGAAGUGGUCCAGGUCAGGGAAGUGGCUGGGGAAGUAGUCAGGGAAGUGGUCCAGGUCAGGGAAGUGGCUGGGGAAGUAGUCAGGGAAGUGGUCCAGGUCAGGGAAGUGGCUGGGGAAGUAGUCAGGGAAGUGGUCCAGGUCAGGGAAGUGGCUGGGGAAGUAGUCAGGGAAGUGGUCCAGGUCAGGGAAGUGGCUGGGGAAGUAGUCAGGGAAGUGGUCCAGGUCAGGGAAGUGGCUGGGGAAGUAGUCAGGGAAGUGGUCCAGGUCAGGGAAGUGGCUGGGGAAGUAGUCAGGGAAGUGGUCCAGGUCAGGGAAGUGGCUGGGGAAGUAGUCAGGGAAGUGGUCCAGGUCAGGGAAGUGGCUGGGGAAGUAGUCAGGGAAGUGGUCCAGGUCAGGGAAGUGGCUGGGGAAGUAGUCAGGGAAGUGGUCCAGGUCAGGGAAGUGGCUGGGGAAGUAGUCAGGGAAGUGGUCCAGGUCAGGGAAGUGGCUGGGGAAGUAGUCAGGGAAGUGGUCCAGGUCAGGGAAGUGGCUGGGGAAGUAGUCAGGGAAGUGGUCCAGGUCAGGGAAGUGGCUGGGGAAGUAGUCAGGGAAGUGGUCCAGGUCAGGGAAGUGGCUGGGGAAGUAGUCAGGGAAGUGGUCCAGGUCAGGGAAGUGGCUGGGGAAGUAGUCAGGGAAGUGGUCCAGGUCAGGGAAGUGGCUGGGGAAGUAGUCAGGGAAGUGGUCCAGGUCAGGGAAGUGGCUGGGGAAGUAGUCAGGGAAGUGGUCCAGGUCAGGGAAGUGGCUGGGGAAGUAGUCAGGGAAGUGGUCCAGGUCAGGGAAGUGGCUGGGGAAGUAGUCAGGGAAGUGGUCCAGGUCAGGGAAGUGGCUGGGGAAGUAGUCAGGGAAGUGGUCCAGGUCAGGGAAGUGGCUGGGGAAGUAGUCAGGGAAGUGGUCCAGGUCAGGGAAGUGGCUGGGGAAGUAGUCAGGGAAGUGGUCCAGGUCAGGGAAGUGGCUGGGGAAGUAGUCAGGGAAGUGGUCCAGGUCAGGGAAGUGGCUGGGGAAGUAGUCAGGGAAGUGGUCCAGGUCAGGGAAGUGGCUGGGGAAGUAGUCAGGGAAGUGGUCCAGGUCAGGGAAGUGGCUGGGGAAGUAGUCAGGGAAGUGGUCCAGGUCAGGGAAGUGGCUGGGGAAGUAGUCAGGGAAGUGGUCCAGGUCAGGGAAGUGGCUGGGGAAGUAGUCAGGGAAGUGGUCCAGGUCAGGGAAGUGGCUGGGGAAGUAGUCAGGGAAGUGGUCCAGGUCAGGGAAGUGGCUGGGGAAGUAGUCAGGGAAGUGGUCCAGGUCAGGGAAGUGGCUGGGGAAGUAGUCAGGGAAGUGGUCCAGGUCAGGGAAGUGGCUGGGGAAGUAGUCAGGGAAGUGGUCCAGGUCAGGGAAGUGGCUGGGGAAGUAGUCAGGGAAGUGGUCCAGGUCAGGGAAGUGGCUGGGGAAGUAGUCAGGGAAGUGGUCCAGGUCAGGGAAGUGGCUGGGGAAGUAGUCAGGGAAGUGGUCCAGGUCAGGGAAGUGGCUGGGGAAGUAGUCAGGGAAGUGGUCCAGGUCAGGGAAGUGGCUGGGGAAGUAGUCAGGGAAGUGGUCCAGGUCAGGGAAGUGGCUGGGGAAGUAGUCAGGGAAGUGGUCCAGGUCAGGGAAGUGGCUGGGGAAGUAGUCAGGGAAGUGGUCCAGGUCAGGGAAGUGGCUGGGGAAGUAGUCAGGGAAGUGGUCCAGGUCAGGGAAGUGGCUGGGGAAGUAGUCAGGGAAGUGGUCCAGGUCAGGGAAGUGGCUGGGGAAGUAGUCAGGGAAGUGGUCCAGGUCAGGGAAGUGGCUGGGGAAGUAGUCAGGGAAGUGGUCCAGGUCAGGGAAGUGGCUGGGGAAGUAGUCAGGGAAGUGGUCCAGGUCAGGGAAGUGGCUGGGGAAGUAGUCAGGGAAGUGGUCCAGGUCAGGGAAGUGGCUGGGGAAGUAGUCAGGGAAGUGGUCCAGGUCAGGGAAGUGGCUGGGGAAGUAGUCAGGGAAGUGGUCCAGGUCAGGGAAGUGGCUGGGGAAGUAGUCAGGGAAGUGGUCCAGGUCAGGGAAGUGGCUGGGGAAGUAGUCAGGGAAGUGGUCCAGGUCAGGGAAGUGGCUGGGGAAGUAGUCAGGGAAGUGGUCCAGGUCAGGGAAGUGGCUGGGGAAGUAGUCAGGGAAGUGGUCCAGGUCAGGGAAGUGGCUGGGGAAGUAGUCAGGGAAGUGGUCCAGGUCAGGGAAGUGGCUGGGGAAGUAGUCAGGGAAGUGGUCCAGGUCAGGGAAGUGGCUGGGGAAGUAGUCAGGGAAGUGGUCCAGGUCAGGGAAGUGGCUGG
This is a long non-coding RNA of Sinocyclocheilus anshuiensis, 4267 nucleotides long. The record is from Ensembl. Lineage: Eukaryota; Metazoa; Chordata; Actinopteri; Cypriniformes; Cyprinidae.